Molecule: ribosomal RNA, 305 nt
Filed under: uncultured bacterium
Lineage: Bacteria
Description: bacterial SSU rRNA
Rfam family: Bacterial small subunit ribosomal RNA
Source: RNAcentral
GGACCUACGGGAGGCGACAGUGGGGGAUAUUGCACAAUGGGGGAAACCCUGAUGCAGCGACGCCGCGUGGGCGAAGAAGUAUUUCGGUAUGUAAAGCCCUAUCAGCAGGGAAGAAGAAAUGACGGUACCUGAGUAAGAAGCACCGGCUAAAUACGUGCCAGCAGCCGCGGUAAUACGUAUGGUGCAAGCGUUAUCCGGAUUUACUGGGUGUAAAGGGAGCGCAGGCGGCACGGCAAGCCUGAUGUGAAAGCCCGCGGCCCAACCGCGGGACGGCAUUGGGAACUACCGGGUGGGCGUGCAGGCGG